Molecule: long non-coding RNA, 1299 nt
Filed under: Cyanistes caeruleus (blue tit)
Lineage: Eukaryota; Metazoa; Chordata; Aves; Passeriformes; Paridae
Description: lncRNA (ENSCCEG00000007915.1)
Source: RNAcentral
GAAAACUCUGGAAAACCCCUGGGAAAAACCUUGGGAAAACCCUGGGGAAACCCUGGGAAGAUUCUGGGGAAAACCUGGGAAAAUCCUGGGAAAAAUCCUGGGAAAACCCUGGGGAAAACCUGGAAGAACCCUGGGAAAAUCCCUGGGAAAAAUAAUGGGGAAAAUCCUGGGAAAAACCCUGGGAAAACUCUGGGAAAAGUCUGGGAAAACCCUGGGAAAACCCUGGGAAAACCCUGGGAAAACCUGGAAGAACCCUGGGAAAAUCCCUGGGAAAAAAUCCUGGGAAAAUCCUGGGGAAAACCCCUGGGAAAAAGCCUGGGAAAACCUGGGAAAAACCCUGGGAAAAUUCUGGGAAAAAGUCUGGGAAGAACCCUGAGAAAACCCUGGAAAACCCCUGGGAAAAACCUUGGGAAAACCCUGGGAAAACCCUGGGGAAAACCUGGGAAAAUCCUGGGAAAAAUCCUGGGAAAACCCUGGGAAAACCCCGGGGAAAACCCGGGAGAACCCUGGGAAAGUCCCUGGGAAAAUCCUGGGGAAAACCCCUGGGAAAAAGCCUGGGAAAAAGCCUGGGAAAAACCUGGGAAAACUCUGGGAAAACCUGGGAAAAACCUGGGAAAAUUCUGGGAAAACCUUGGGAAAAGCCUGGAAAACCCUGGGAAAAUCCUGGGACAACACCUGGAAAAACCCUGGGAAAAACCUGGGGAAACCCUGGGGAAAAUCUGGGAAAAAACCUGGGAAAACUCUGGGAAAACCCUGGGAAAAACCUUGGAAAAACCUUGGGAAAACGGGGACACCCCUUGGGAUGGUGGCCGGGUUCCUCCAGGAGGAGCUGGGGACACCCCAAGGGUGGUGACACCAAGACCUUGGAGGUCAUCGUGGUUGUUGUCCGGUUCUGGGUGUCCCAUGGCAACAGGGGACAGCCCCAGAUUUUGGGGUCACCAGGACUGGAACAUUCAGAUCCUACAGGGGGGCACUGGGGACACCCCAAGGUUGGUGACACCAAGACCUCUGAGGUUGUUGUCCGGUUCUGGGUGUCCCAUGGCAACAGGGGACAUCCCCCAGAUGUUGGUGUCCCCCCCCCAGAUGUUGAUGUCCCUCAGAUGUUUGGUGUCCCCGAGAUCUUGGUGUCCCCCAAAUUUUGGUAUCCCCCAGAUGUUGUUGUCCCCCCAGUUGUUGGUGUCCCCCCAGACUUCGGUGUCCCCCCAGGUUUUGGUGUCCCCCCGGUUUUGGGGUGCCCCUGACCCCGCCCCCUCUCUCCGCAGCCACCGGAAUGUUCUUCGGCUCCGCCCCCAGCCCCAU